UGACGAGUGGCGGACGGGUGAGGAAUGCAUCGGAAUCUGCCUGUUUGUGGGGGAUAACGCAUGGAAACGUGCGCUAAUACCGCAUACGUCCUUUUGUCGGGAGAUGAUUGGAGAAAGUGGGGGACCUUCGGGCCUCACGCGAACAGAUGAGCCGAUGUCGGAUUAACUGGUUGGUGGGGUAAAGGCCUACCAAGGCGACGAUCCGUAGCUGGUCUGAGAGGAUGAUCAGCCACACUGGAACUGAGACACGGUCCAGACUCCUACGGGAGGCAGCAGUGGGGAAUAUUGGACAAUGGGGGCAACCCUGAUCCAGCCAUGCCGCGUGUGUGAAGAAGGCCCUUGGGUUGUAAAGCACUUUUGUUGGGGAAGAAAAGUUUUCGGUGAAUAUCUGGAGACGCUGACGGUACCCAAAGAAUA
Molecule: ribosomal RNA, 417 nt
Filed under: uncultured Lysobacterales bacterium
Lineage: Bacteria; Pseudomonadati; Pseudomonadota; Gammaproteobacteria; Lysobacterales
Description: bacterial SSU rRNA
Rfam family: Bacterial small subunit ribosomal RNA
Source: RNAcentral